Molecule: ribosomal RNA, 467 nt
Filed under: uncultured organism
Description: partial 16S ribosomal RNA
Rfam family: Bacterial small subunit ribosomal RNA
Source: RNAcentral
UACACUCCUACGGGAGGCAGCAGUGAGGAAUAUUGGACAAUGGGUGGAAGCCUGAUCCAGCCAUCCCGCGUGCAGGAAGACGGCCCUAUGGGUUGUAAACUGCUUUUAUCUGGGGAUAAACCUACUUACGUGUAAGUAGCUGAAGGUACCAGAAGAAUAAGCACCGGCUAACUCCGUGCCAGCAGCCGCGGUAAUACGGAGGGUGCAAGCGUUAUCCGGAUUUAUUGGGUUUAAAGGGUCCGUAGGCGGACUGAUAAGUCAGUGGUGAAAUCCGACAGCUUAACUGUCGAACUGCCAUUGAUACUGUUAGUCUUGAGUAAGGUUGAAGUGGCUGGAAUAAGUAGUGUAGCGGUGAAAUGCAUAGAUAUUACUUAGAACACCAAUUGCGAAGGCAGGUCACUAAGUCUUAACUGACGCUGAUGGACGAAAGCGUGGGGAGCGAACAGGAUUAGAAACUCCGGUAGUCC